RNAcentral lists this non-coding RNA (28 nucleotides) under Homo sapiens (human). The record is from RNAcentral. Lineage: Eukaryota; Metazoa; Chordata; Mammalia; Primates; Hominidae.
UAAGAGCUGUGGAGGCAGGAGUAGAGGA